This is a long non-coding RNA of Scatophagus argus, 491 nucleotides long. RefSeq lists it as uncharacterized. The record is from RefSeq and is a predicted model, not a curated record. The transcript is spliced from 3 exons. Lineage: Eukaryota; Metazoa; Chordata; Actinopteri; Scatophagidae.
UCGAACCCAUUUUGGUCGCAUGUUAGUUAGUUAUUUCGUGAUUUCCAAGUUAUAAUGAAGACAGCACGAAACCAGCCAGUGCCAAGCAGGAGCUGUUGUAAUGCAUGCAGUCAAGUAACCGUACCAUAUGUUUUUUUCCCGCUUUCUGACCACGUUUGAUAAGCCAAACACUGUUUCACUGGAUAACUCUUGGAGGAGGAUGAGAAGACGCUGCAACAACAAAUACAGAAUACUACAACACUGCUCAAGGUUGGGAUGUCAGCGGGACGUGCCUUCACCUGUUGUUGCAGGUUGCAGCAAUGGACAUUUUCUGUUUGGGAUUCCCGCUAUGAAAAAGAAGAUAACUGAAAUCAGGAUUUCACCCAUAUCGAGACAACAAUAAAUGGACUCCAGAUGUCAGACCUACUGCUUCUUCCUAUAAGUCUGAUUUAUGUAAUGUUACUGAAAGAGUUUCCAAUUCAAGCCUUAUUAGUCAUCAGCCUAACACAGAA